CAACAAUCAUCGAUAGUCAAGAAAGUAUCGACAGCAAUUAAAUAGCAAAAAAAAAUAUCAAUUUCCAUUUCAUUUUAUUAAAACUUUUGCUACAUUUGUUCGCUACUCUAAAGGUAAGUAAAUUUGAAUUUGAUGUUUAACAUUGGCAUAGAACGAUGGUUAAUUGCAGCAACCGAUUAAGAUGGAGUCCGCUCAGUCGAACCUUGCAUCGAGAGCUUCGCCAUUGAUAAUGACUGAAAAAUCCAUCCACGUUAUUUGUAUACGGCAGCCAAUCCGCCUCACGAGAGUCGAACUCCUGCAGGGAACCUCCGCUAGGCUCUUACUGACUACCCCAACCAAUGAGCAGCAAGUGCUGGGCAAUGUGUCUAAGAGUCUGCCGAAAAUGGCUCUGCACGUGGAUGUCAGCUUUGGCGACCAGCUGUGCCUGGAAGGCGAUCGCCCCGCGCUUGUGGGUUUGCAUGGACUCUUGCCGAACCUCAACGAGACCAGCGGUCCCCUUUGCAUGACGCAAUGCUUCCUAAUUGUCCAGAAGGGGCUUCGUGUUGAAGUCCGCACAAUUAAUGCUUAAUCUUGCAAAUCAUUGUUCAAAGCACUAACACACACACACACACACACGAUGCAAAAAAAAAACAUAGAAUGACGGAUGCAGUAGUUCCUGGAACACAGCUGCAACCUGGCCACUGGUCUGUGUGCUUCUCAGUUCUCCAUUUGAUAUAACAUUCGAGGCACUCGCUCAC
RNAcentral lists this long non-coding RNA (737 nucleotides) under Drosophila guanche. The record is from RNAcentral. Lineage: Eukaryota; Metazoa; Arthropoda; Insecta; Diptera; Drosophilidae.